RNAcentral lists this ribosomal RNA (464 nucleotides) under uncultured Acidobacteriota bacterium. RNAcentral describes it as "uncultured Acidobacteria bacterium partial 16S ribosomal RNA". It matches the Rfam family "Bacterial small subunit ribosomal RNA", at positions 339 to 794 of the family's 1533-position model. The record is from RNAcentral. Lineage: Bacteria; Pseudomonadati; Acidobacteriota.
CCUCGGGAGGCAGCAGUGGGGAAUUGUUCGCAAUGGGCGCAAGCCUGACGACGCAACGCCGCGUGGAGGAUGAAGACCUUCGGGUUGUAAACUCCUGUCGCGCGGGACGAAUGCCGCACGGGUGAACAGCCCGUGCGGGUGACGGUACCGCGAGAGGAAGCCCCGGCUAACUCCGUGCCAGCAGCCGCGGUAAUACGGGGGGGGCGAGCGUUGUUCGGAAUUACUGGGCGUAAAGUGUCCGUAGGCGGCCGGCCCAGUCGGACGUAAAAUCCCCCGGCUCAACCGGGGAAGGGCGUCCGAUACUAGUCGGCUCGAGUGCGGGAGAGGGACGUGGAAUUCCCGGUGUAGGGGUGAAAUGCGUAGAUAUCGGGAGGAACACCGGUGGCGAAGGCGGCGUCCUGGACCGUGACUGACGCUGAGGGACGAAAGCCGGGGGAGCAAACGGGAUUAGAUACCCCUGUAGU